Long non-coding RNA from Clupea harengus (Atlantic herring), 2293 nucleotides. The record is from Ensembl. Lineage: Eukaryota; Metazoa; Chordata; Actinopteri; Clupeiformes; Clupeidae.
AUUGGGGAUGUGUGUGUGCAACAGUGUUAUUGGGGAUGUGUGUGUGCAACAGUGUUCGCCCACCAUUGCACACACACACACACACACACACACACACACACACACCUCCUUCUCUGGCCAGCAUCCAGUCUAAGACCAUUCUAUUCUGCGUUGCCAUCUUUGAUGUGUGGCAUCCACCUGUUCUCCCAAGGAGGCUAUGUGGAGGAGUGUGUGUGGACAGGGCGUCUGUGGUGUAGUUAAUAAACCGUUGUUGAUUGUAGUAGAUGUAAUGAAUCCACUCCCAUGCUUUGGCGAUGCCCAGGUUGUUAUGAGAGCUUCAAGAAUCCCUCCGUAUAUUUCGCUGCGUGCUUUAUACUCAUGGGGAAAAUACCUCGGGGUUGUCCUAUGCCGUUUUAAGUACACUCUGGGGUCCUUCUCAUAACCACCUACCCCCCCUUUUCCCCCCGUCUAACUCCAGUGUCAACCUUGCAGCUGUUAUUUUCAUAUACUACAAAAGUCUCUUGCAUCGCCAUGACUCGUGCACAUCCCCCGGUCCAGUCUUCUGGAAGGGUGUGGCGUACGUCCCAGUCAGGACCACAGGCCCACCACAUGUCUGCUGGGGGAACAUAUUUGACCUUUGACCCAGCGUCGCAUAGGUAUUAGUAGUCUGAGCUGAACAUAUUUGACCUUUGACCCAGCGAUGCAUAGGUAUUAGUAGUCUGAGCUGAACAUCUUUGACCUUUGACCCAGCGAUGCAUAGGUAUUAGUAGUCUGAGCUGAACAUCUUUGACCUUUGACCCAGCGUCGCAUAGGUAUUAGUAGUCUGAGCUGAACAUCUUUGACCUUUGACCCAGCGUCGCAUAGGUAUUAGUAGUCUGGUUGCCCACAUUGACAUUUAGUCAUUUAGCAGACGCCUUUAUCCAAAGCGACUUACAAGGAUGUAUACACAUUUUUACAUUUACACUGAUGGCACACUGCACAUCAGGAGCAAUUAGGGGUUCAGUGUCUUGCUCAAGGACGCUUCGACAGGGAAUCGAACUAGCAACCUUCUGCUUCCUAAACGACUUCUUUACCUCCUGUACCACUGUCGCCCAUUUAUACCAUGUAUUACCCUGGGCCUGUCUCCCCAGCUAGAAGGGUCCCUCUCCUGUUGGUAAAGAUGGAGAAGGCACGAAAGAAAAGAGAAACGCUACGAACAGCAUCAUACCCACCAGCGGCAGGAGCUUCUGGAGCCCCAGGUCUUUCCGGUUCUGCUUCCCGCUCCUGCUCUAGAUCGUUCCCUUCGGGAACACCCUCAUUUUUGGCAUGCAGCUCAUGCCCUGGCCUGGCUGCCGUCUCUCCUUCUUCCAGUGGCUCUGUGGCUCUGAAGGGGUAUUAAAGGGGGUACCACACCUCUGGUCCCUGCACUCUUACCGCCGUUUGAGUGGCUUCUGUCACCCUGUAUGAUCCCUCGGACCUUGGCUGAAGGCAAGACCUUUUGAACACCUUCAGGUACCCCCAGUCUCCUGGUUGUACUGGCCUUCUGAUUCCUGCCUCCAGGGCCGGUGGUGGUUCCUGCUGCUUCGCCUUCGUGUGUAAAUAACUUUUGUGAAUCAGAGUUGAUUGUUGCACAGAAUGGCAAAGUUCUUUUUUGGAACUGCUCCAGAGGGGGUCCCCUGCUUGGCUCCCUGAUCCGUGGGACUGGCAUUGGUCGCCCUGUAAGAAUCUUGUGAGGGGUGAGGUGUGUGCUGCGGUUUUGCUGCGAGCGCAUUUGCAUUAGAGCAAUGGGCAAAGCAUCCAGCCAGUUGAGGUAAGAGCCGGCACAGAUUUUAGCCAUUUUCAGCAUGGCAUUUGCUCUCUCCGCCAUCCCCUGACUUCGGGCAUCUUUCGCACUUACACAUGUGUAAGUUGCUCCGGUAUCUACCAUUAGUGAAAUUUCUCCGCCCCCAAUUUGAACCUGCAGCGUAGGUUCCUUUGCAGCUCCCCUUGAUAAAUUCGGAAACUGACCCUCCUCGUUAAGAUUCUCUCGCCCCCAUCAAUAGUAAUCGCCCCCCUAAGGGUCCGUUGGGUCCACCCUGCAUCGCAGAGCCGUCUCCCUUUACGGCGGGCAGCCAUUUUGUUGUAAGGCAACCAUUUUGUCACAGAAUCUAACUUGUUUUCAGAUGUCCAUGUCCCAGCGUCAGUAGUUUAAAACACAAUAAUCUCUCCACUUAAAUGGCAACAUCUGGAAAGUGACAACACCCAUACAUCUAAAACUGCUGAAAACAUCAGGAACAUUUAGCAUUUUUAGCUAAAAACAAUAUAAUUCAAUGCAACAUUCACAAAUACAUAUAUA